This 72-nucleotide transfer RNA is filed under the name Elusimicrobia bacterium RIFCSPLOWO2_12_FULL_59_9. RNAcentral's name for it is "tRNA-Arg". It matches the Rfam family "tRNA". Rfam says of the family: Transfer RNA (tRNA) molecules are approximately 80 nucleotides in length. Their secondary structure includes four short double-helical elements and three loops (D, anti-codon, and T loops). Lineage: Bacteria; Pseudomonadati; Elusimicrobiota. RNAcentral also lists the same sequence under 1 other name. The record is from RNAcentral.
GCGCCCAUAGCUCAAUGGAUAGAGCGCUGGCCUUCGAAGCCAGUGGUGUAGGUUCGAUUCCUGCUGGGCGCA